GACGAACGCUGGCGGCGUGCUUAACACAUGCAAGUCGAACGGAAAGGCCCUGCUUUUGUGGGGUGCUCGAGUGGCGAACGGGUGUGUAACACGUGAGUAACCUGCCCUUGACUUUGGGAUAACUUCAGGAAACUGGGGCUAAUACCGGAUAGGAGCUCCUGCUGCAUGGUGGGGGUUGGAAAGUUUCGGCGGUUGGGGAUGGACUCGCGGCUUAUCAGCUUGUUGGUGGGGUAGUGGCUUACCAAGGCUUUGACGGGUAGCCGGCCUGAGAGGGUGACCGGCCACAUUGGGACUGAGAUACGGCCCAGACUCCUACGGGAGGCAGCAGUGGGGAAUAUUGCACAAUGGGCGGAAGCCUGAUGCAGCAACGCCGCGUGCGGGAUGACGGCCUUCGGGUUAUAAACCGCUUUCGCCUGUGACGAAGCGUGAGUGACGGUAAUGGGUAAAGAAGCACCGGCUAACUACGUG
Molecule: ribosomal RNA, 468 nt
Filed under: uncultured bacterium
Lineage: Bacteria
Description: partial 16S ribosomal RNA
Rfam family: Bacterial small subunit ribosomal RNA
Source: RNAcentral